RNAcentral lists this ribosomal RNA (425 nucleotides) under uncultured bacterium. Its description in RNAcentral is "partial 16S ribosomal RNA". It matches the Rfam family "Bacterial small subunit ribosomal RNA", at positions 354 to 796 of the family's 1533-position model. The record is from RNAcentral.
GUGGGGAAUCUUGCGCAAUGGGCGAAAGCCUGACGCAGCCAUGCCGCGUGAAUGAUGAAGGUCUUAGGAUUGUAAAAUUCUGUCACCGGGGACGAUAAUGACGGUACCCGGAGAAGAAGCCCCGGCUAACUUCGUGCCAGCCGCCGCGGUAAUCCGUAGGGGGCUAGCGCUGCUCGGAAUUACUGGGCGUAAAGGGCGCGUAGGCGGACAGUUUAGUCAGAGGUGAAGGCCCAGGGCUCAACCUUGGAAUUGCCUUUGAUACUGGCUGUCUUGAGGACGGGAGAUGUGAGUGGAACUCCGAGUGUAGAGGUGAAAUUCGUAGAUAUUCGGAAGAACACCAGUGGCGAAGGCGACUCACUGGCCCGUUACUGACGCUGAGGCGCGAAAGCGUGGGGAGCAAACAGGAUUAGAUACCCUUGUAGUCC